Molecule: ribosomal RNA, 253 nt
Filed under: uncultured bacterium
Lineage: Bacteria
Description: partial 16S ribosomal RNA
Rfam family: Bacterial small subunit ribosomal RNA
Source: RNAcentral
UACGUAGGGUGCAAGCGUUGUCCGGAAUUAUUGGGCGUAAAGAGCUCGUAGGCGGUCUGUUGCGUCGGCUGUGAAAACCCGGGGCUCAACCCCGGGCCUGCAGCCGAUACGGGCAGACUAGAGUUCGGCAGGGGAGACUGGAAUUCCUGGUGUAGCGGUGAAGUGCGCAGAUAUCAGGAGGAACACCGGUGGCGAAGGCGCUGCUCUGGGCCGAAACUGACGCUGAGGAGCGAAAGCGUGGGUAGCAAACAGG